AUUUUUUUGAUAGUGAUCCUUGCAGUCUUGAUCUGAGACAUCACUUCUAGGGCUGCUAUUGGCAUAGUAAUAUGGUGAUUCCAAUGUACUAAUGGUGGGCUUAAUCUCAACCGCACAAGCACCCCAAUUUAGCAUGGAAAGUGCUUUCUCGUAGGAGGAAAGUAUCUUCUCAACAAGGAAUUGACGCGUUUCAGGCGACGAAAUAGAGUUAAGAUGCUUCCUUAGCUGCUCUGCUAGCUCUUUC
RNAcentral lists this unclassified non-coding RNA (244 nucleotides) under Hevea brasiliensis (rubber tree). Lineage: Eukaryota; Viridiplantae; Streptophyta; Magnoliopsida; Malpighiales; Euphorbiaceae. The record is from RNAcentral.